This 447-nucleotide ribosomal RNA is filed under the name uncultured bacterium. Its description in RNAcentral is "partial 16S ribosomal RNA". It matches the Rfam family "Bacterial small subunit ribosomal RNA", at positions 29 to 523 of the family's 1533-position model. The record is from RNAcentral.
AGCGAACGCUGGCGGCAGGCCUAAAACAUGCAAGUCGAACGCCCCGCAAGGGGAGUGGCGCACGGGUGAGUAACGCGUGGGAACGUGCCCCUUAGUACGGGACAACGUCGGGAAACUGACGCUAAUACCGUAUAAUAUCUCCGGAUCAAAGAUUUAUCGCUGAGGGAGCGGCCCGCGUCUGAUUAGCUAGUUGGUGAGGUAAAGGCUCACCAAGGCUACGAUCAGUAGCAGGUCUGAGAGGAUGAUCUGCCACACUGGGGCUGAGACACGGCCCAGACUCCUACGGGAGGCAGCAGUUAGGAAUAUUGGACAAUGGGGGGAACCCUGAUCCAGCCAUGCCGCGUGUGUGAUGAAGGCCCUAGGGUUGUAAAGCACUUUCGUUGGGGAUGAUAAUGACCGUACCCAAAGAAGAAGCCACGGCUAAAUUCGUGCCAGCCGCCGCUGUAA